Molecule: ribosomal RNA, 836 nt
Filed under: bacterium enrichment culture clone SRB-6
Lineage: Bacteria
Description: bacterial SSU rRNA
Rfam family: Bacterial small subunit ribosomal RNA
Source: RNAcentral
AACACAUGCAAGUCGAACGGAUGAAAUAAGCUUGCUUAUUUCGUUAGUGGCGCACGGGUGAGUAAUGUAUAGCUAACCUGCCCUUUAGUGGGGGACAACAGUUGGAAACGGCUGCUAAUACCCCAUACUCCAACUUAUCUUAAGAUAAGUUGGGAAAGAUUUAUCGCUAAAGGAUGGGGCUUUAUGGUAUCAGCUUGUUGGUGGGGUAACGGCCUACCAAGGCAAUGACGCCUACCUGGUCUGAGAGGAUGAUCAGGCACACUGGAACUGAGACACGGUCCAGACUCCUACGGGAGGCAGCAGUGGGGAAUAUUGCACAAUGGAGGAAACUCUGAUGCAGCAACGCCGCGUGGAGGAUGACGCAUUUCGGUGUGUAAACUCCUUUCAUAAGGGAAGAUAAUGACGGUACCUUAUGAAUAAGCACCGGCUAACUCCGUGCCAGCAGCCGCGGUACUACGGAGGGUGCAAGCGUUACUCGGAAUCACUGGGCGUAAAGGAUGCGUAGGCUGGAGAUCAAGUCGAGAGUGAAAUCCAACGGCUCAACCGUUGAACUGCUCUCGAAACUGGUCACCUAGAAUAUGGGAGAGGUAGAUGGAAUUGGUGGUGUAGGGGUAAAAUCCGUAGAUAUCACCAGGAAUACCGAUUGCGAAGGCGAUCUACUGGAACAUUAUUGACGCUGAGGCAUUAAAGCGUGGGGAGCAAACAGGAUUAGAUACCCUGGUAGUCCACGCCCUAAACGAUGCACACUAGUUGUUGCGAUGCUAGUCAUUGCAGUAAUGCACUUAACAGAUUACGUGUGCCGCCUGGGGAGUACGGUUGCAAGAUUAAAACUCAAA